CAAUAGCGUAUAUUAAAGUUGUUGCGGUAAAAAAGCUCGUAGUUGGAUUUCUGUUGAGAGCGACCGGUCCAUACCAUGUAUGCGUAUCUGGCUUGCUCUCGGCAUCCUCUCGAUAGACGUUACUGCGCUUGAUUGCGUGGUGCGGAUCUCGGGACUUUUACUUUGAGGAAAUUAGAGUGUUCACGGCAGGCUUUCGCCAGAAUACAUUAGCAUGGAAUAAUACUAUAGGAUCUUGGUUCUAUUUUGUUGGUUUCUAGAAUUGAGAUAAUGAUUAAUAGGGACAAUUGGGGGCAGUCGUAUCAACACGUCAGAGGUGGAAUUCUUGGAUUGUGUUGCGACGAACUACUGCGAAAGCAUUUGCCAAGGAUGUUUUCAUUGA
RNAcentral lists this ribosomal RNA (379 nucleotides) under uncultured eukaryote. RNAcentral describes it as "partial 18S ribosomal RNA". It matches the Rfam family "Eukaryotic small subunit ribosomal RNA", at positions 592 to 976 of the family's 1831-position model. The record is from RNAcentral.